RNAcentral lists this ribosomal RNA (701 nucleotides) under uncultured Planctomycetota bacterium. Its description in RNAcentral is "bacterial SSU rRNA". It matches the Rfam family "Bacterial small subunit ribosomal RNA", at positions 8 to 722 of the family's 1533-position model. The record is from RNAcentral. Lineage: Bacteria; Pseudomonadati; Planctomycetota.
AGAGUUUGAUCCUGGCUCAGAAUGAACGUUGGCGGGUGGAUAGGCAUGCAAGUCGCGCGAUAUCUGUAGCAAUACAGUGAAAGCGGCGAAAGGGACAGUAAUGUAUGGGUACCUACCCCGAGGUUUGGGAUAGCGGCGGGAAACUGCCGGUAAUACCAGAUAAUAUCUCCGGAUCAAAGGUGUGAUUCCGCCCUGGGAUGGGCCCAUAUGCUAUUAGCUAGUUGGUGUGGUAACGGCUCACCAAGGCAAAGAUGGCUAGCGGGUGUGAGAGCACGACCCGCGUCACUGGGACUGAGAUACUGCCCAGACACCUACGGGUGGCUGCAGUCGAGAAUCUUCGGCAAUGGGCGCAAGCCUGACCGAGCGACGCCGCGUGCGUUUAUUUUUGCCUUCGGGUUGUAAACCGCUGUCGAGGGGGAUGAAAUUCUGGCGCCCUCCUCCCAUCAGAUUGACAGAUCCCUGGAGGAAGGGUGGGCUAAGUUCGUGCCAGCAGCCGCGGUAAGACGAACCACCCAAACGUUAUUCGGAAUUACUGGGCUUAAAGAGUGCGUAGGCGGUCAUGUAAGUAGGGUGUGAAAUCCCACAGCUCAACUGUGGAACUGCGCUCUAAACUACAUGACUAGAGGGAUAUAGAGGUGAGCAGAACUGAUGGUGGAGCGGUGAAAUGCAUUGAUAUCAUCAGGAAUACCGGAGGCGAAGGC